CCUACGGGUGGCAGCAGUGAGGAAUAUUGGUCAAUGGACGAGAGUCUGAACCAGCCAAGUAGCGUGAAGGAUGACUGCCCUAUGGGUUGUAAACUUCUUUUAUAUGGGAAUAAAAUGUUCCACGUGUGGGAUUUUGUAUGUACCAUAUGAAUAAGGAUCGGCUAACUCCGUGCCAGCAGCCGCGGUAAUACGGAGGAUCCGAGCGUUAUCCGGAGUUAUUGGGUUUAACGGGAGCGUAGGUGGAUUGUUAAGUCAGUUGUGAAAGUUUGCGGCUCAACCGUAAAAUUGCAGUUGAAACUGGCAGUCUUGAGUACAGUAGAGGUGGGCGGAAUUCGUGGUGUAGCGGUGAAAUGCUUAGAUAUCACGAAGAACUCCGAUUGCGAAGGCAGUUCACUGGACUGCAACUGACACUGAGGCUCGAAAGUGUGGGUAUCAAACAGGAUUAGAUACCCGUGUAGUC
This 460-nucleotide ribosomal RNA is filed under the name uncultured bacterium. Its description in RNAcentral is "partial 16S ribosomal RNA". It matches the Rfam family "Bacterial small subunit ribosomal RNA", at positions 338 to 795 of the family's 1533-position model. The record is from RNAcentral.